AACCACCUAAGCAAUUUACACUUUCUCCUGGACAUGAAUCCAUACAACAUAUUUUCUUGUUUGGUUCCAUCGUUGUUUUCACUUGUCAGAAAGUCACUGAAUUGUUAGCUCUAAUUUCCCCUGAGACAGGGUUAGGAAAUGGAGGACAAUCUCCUUCCUGGCAAAAUAAAAAAGCAGGCACAACUUUUCAUGUUAGCAUGAUGCAUAUGUAACAUCCUCUUCACAAGAAGAGAGAAACUUACCAGUACAGCUGAAACAUGUCUGUCUCGGGGCAUAUUCGUAGGGUUACCCAAAGCUGAAAUAAGGUCAGUAUCUUCAGCAAGGUUUCUGAGUCUGUCGAGUUCUGGUAGGACAACCUUGCCAAGAUCAGGUCUGUCUCUGCGCCUUAAUUCAGCACACUGCACUCCCAACUUAGCAAACGUCAAGGCCUCCUCUUGUGGCCAAUCAGAGAGUGAUGGAUCCAACAUCUCAGAUAAAGUUCCUUUCUCAAUGGCCCUUGCAACAUGAUGGGUCAAACCCAUAGGAUCUAUGUAGCAGAAGGUUCCGGCUGCGGAUGUCAUGUGAUACUGCGUGACAGAGUCUGCCACAGAUGGUGGAACUAGCCUGGCCAAACCUACAUCACUGAUUUUGGACACAAAGUUUCUGUCAAGCAAGAUGUUGGCUGGUUUCAAGUCCCUGUGCACCAGAGGUUCUGGUUUUGUCUGGUGCAGGAACAGCAAGCCUGUGCCAAUCUCCGCUGCUAUCUUGAAUCUUAGCUGCCAAGGCAGUGGGGGAGUGUUGCCUUGUCGAAAGAGGCGAUCUUCCAAGCUACCAUUUGCCAUAUACUCAUACACUAGACAUCCAUAUUCUGGACAUGCUCCUAGGAGUAGAACCAUGUGUGGAUGCCGUAUGCAGCUCAAUACCUCAACCUGUAAUGUGCAUUACAUGGUUUAAGAAAUAGCUUUGUUUUCACAUAUAAUAACAAAAAUAUGUAUAGUUUAACCUGUAAUCCAGGAGAUAUAAGAUUGACUUAGUGGUAAAAUUGGAAAGGAAAGUGAGAGAAGUUGUGGUUUCAACUCUUGCUACUAAUACUUGGAAAAUAUAAGACUGGUUUGACAGGUUUGGAAGAAAA
Molecule: long non-coding RNA, 1111 nt
Organism: Vigna angularis (adzuki bean)
Lineage: Eukaryota; Viridiplantae; Streptophyta; Magnoliopsida; Fabales; Fabaceae
Exons: 3
Source: RefSeq, a predicted model, not a curated record